This 23-nucleotide non-coding RNA is filed under the name Arabidopsis thaliana (thale cress). The record is from RNAcentral. Lineage: Eukaryota; Viridiplantae; Streptophyta; Magnoliopsida; Brassicales; Brassicaceae.
UACAUGCUUCCUCCGGAUUAUGG